UACGAAGGGAGCUAGCGUUGUUCGGAAUCACUGGGCGUAAAGCGCACGUAGGCGGAUGUGUCAGUCAGGGGUGAAAUCCCGGAGCUCAACUUCGGAACUGCCUUUGAUACUGGAGAGCUUGAGUCCGGAAGAGGUGAGUGGAACUCCGAGUGUAGAGGUGAAAUUCGUAGAUAUUCGGAAGAACACCAGUGGCGAAGGCGGCUCACUGGUCCGGUACUGACGCUGAGGUGCGAAAGCGUGGGGAGCAAACAGG
This 253-nucleotide ribosomal RNA is filed under the name uncultured bacterium. RNAcentral's name for it is "partial 16S ribosomal RNA". It matches the Rfam family "Bacterial small subunit ribosomal RNA", at positions 524 to 776 of the family's 1533-position model. The record is from RNAcentral.